Molecule: long non-coding RNA, 212 nt
Filed under: Vitis vinifera (wine grape)
Lineage: Eukaryota; Viridiplantae; Streptophyta; Magnoliopsida; Vitales; Vitaceae
Description: long non-coding RNA (VVIN_LNC000352)
Source: RNAcentral
CACCCUUUGAAUUCUAUUCUGUUUAUUCCAUUUUGUUCAUGGAUAUUAUACCACACAAAAGCCUAGCUGCCUAGGUGAAGCCGUCUUAUUUUUAGGGCCUGUUUGCCAUAUGGCUCUAUACAUAUGUAUAUUUUUCUCACCCUUUAAUUUGAAGCUUAAGUCAAGCUAAAAUUAUGACUUACCAGCAAUUCCAAAUAAGAGCUUUAUUAAAU